AGAAACUUCAACAAACACUUAACUGGAAAAUCCUCAUCUGAUUGGAACAGUAAAAUUGUUCAUCAUCCGAGACAAAGUGAUGGCCACAACUGCGGACCACUCAUCUUAAAGUUUGCAGAAGCAUAUUUGGAGCACAAAGACAUAAGUAUGGUAGAAACAACACAAGAGGCUAAUAUUGCGUUUAGAAGACAUAUAGCAAUUCUUCUAAUGAAGGAGUCAG
This is a non-coding RNA of Chrysemys picta bellii (western painted turtle), 220 nucleotides long. The record is from RefSeq and is a predicted model, not a curated record. NCBI's taxonomy places the organism in Eukaryota, Metazoa, Chordata, Testudines, Emydidae.